Molecule: RNA transcript, 2376 nt
Organism: Polyodon spathula (Mississippi paddlefish)
Lineage: Eukaryota; Metazoa; Chordata; Actinopteri; Acipenseriformes; Polyodontidae
Gene name: TNFAIP3-interacting protein 3-like
Exons: 13
Source: RefSeq, a predicted model, not a curated record
CGUGAGUCAGCCAGAAUUCCAGGAGUGAAACAGUAUAAUAAGAUGAACGUGAACACAACUGGAAGUCGGUGCUGAAUACCUGACUGAAGUACUGGACACGCUGGGGCUGUGGGGAUUACCUGCCAGGACACUCAACCCUUCAAUAUAAGCAGCUGAGGGCAAAAUAAACAGCCGCAGAAGAGUGGAUUCUGAAAUGGGGAGCUCAGAAGUGUCUGAACAGGACAGGUGUGAAAGCGUGGAACUCGAUAGUAGCAUAAGAUUUCUUAUUGCUGAAAGAAAUGCUUCCCUCUGGAGAGGAGAAACUGCUUGGAGGCAUUGUGCAACAUUGCAGAAUGUUGAUGUACCGAAGGAUUUAGGAGACACAAGACACUUACGCAGAAUGGCUGGAAAGCAGACAGAUUUGCAGCAAACCGACACGGGGGAGGGUACGGAUUUGAAGGGAAACCAAAUGCAGGCCUCCGCAGAAGAUUUAAAACAACGGAUCAAGAUUCUCGAAAAACAAAGACAAGAGCUACUUGAAGUAAAUAAGAAAUGGGAUGAGCACUCUAAAAUCACGAAGCAGCGAUAUGAACAGAAGUUUUCAGAGACAAAGCAUACAUUGGCUGAUUGUCACAAACACACCGCUGACCUAGAAGUGGAACGAGACCAGAAGCAGAGAGAUUUUGAUAAGAAGCUCGUCCUGGCCAAAGAAAUGAUUGAAAAAAAGCAGGAAGAGAAUGAGAGAAUCAGUAUAGCCUUACAAGAAGCAAAAAGACAGAACCAAUGUCUAAAGGAACAGAAUGCCUCCCUAACAAGAAAGAAGGAACACCAUGAAUGUGAAAUUGGACGACUGAACAAGGCCCUUUCAGAAGCCCUUAGAGUGUCAAGUAGAAACGCUGGCAGAGAAGAGAUGGUGACACAGAUUGAAGUCCUACAGCAGCAGGUGCAGAUCUAUGAGGAAGACUUCAAGAAGGAAAGGUGCGAUAGGGAACGACUUAUUAAAAAAAAUGAAGAACUGCAGUCUGAGCUGCACGUGCUUAAGUCUCAGCUGGCUGCCAGCCCACAUAUCUCCCCGCCUUGUUGCUGCUCUCAGUGGGUAGCAUUUCCUCACAGGGCCAAUGUCUAUGGAUCGUCAUCACACUACACAGACCCCAGGAGUCCACGCAUCCACCAUGAUGGGCAGGAGCAUCAGCAGCACCCAUCAAACUACCAGUGGUUUGUUUCCUCCUCUGACCGUCCCCCUGCAGCUGUUCAGCACGUCCCUCUGAACCGCACAGCAAGCAGUAAGGCUCCUUACCUCAUUAUGCAUUUACAUUGUUUCGUUUGUAUGAAGUGCCACAAGUUUUUGGGCUGACAUGUUUUUAUGGAAAAAUGAUUCAAAUUUAAGUCUGGGAUUAAUUAACUGGUAUUCUGUUAAACUAUAUAAUAAAAUGAAAGUAGAACAAGCUAUUUCCAGAUGAGUUCAUGGUCACUGUAUAAUUAAAUUAAGGUGGACACAAACAUGGCAGUAUUUAUUGUCUCAUACAUCUGAGCUUGUUUUAGUUUUUUAGGAACAAUAUAAAAGCACAAAAGUGUGAUUUCAUCUCCAAUGAUACUGUCUGUUAAAGUCAUGAAUGAGUUCAUUCUCAGAUUAUCCCAGUAAUGCUUGACUUGUCCAGUAUAUUUCAGAAACCAUGACCAAAGCUCUCACUUACUUCUACCCUGACACACAUUCCUGUAGGAAAAGGAGUUGACUACACAGAAAAGUUAAUUAUACAAGAUAACGUUUCUGUGGGGUGGGGUGUCAUCAAAUGAUUGUGUUUCUGAGAUUGCAUUUUAUCCCACGUGCCAGUCCAACAGCUUGUGUGCACUUUGUGACACUUGGUAAACUCUCAUUACAUUAUCGUCAAACUUGCUGUGAGAAGGAAAUAUCUCAGUUCUCUUAACUAAUGCAUUGUAGCGGUUGUUUAGAUUCACAUUGUAUUAUCUAUACUAUUCUGUUUCACUCAUUGCAUCCAGGGUGACCUCUUAGAGCUCAGAUGUUAAACGCACACCUAUAGCCUCUGAGGAGCUCACAAACAUGUCUCAUCUCUAAGGACAACUGAUACACCAAAGUGUAACCAGUAACCUGCAAAGAAAUGAUAUGCAGAGGUUCUAAACAACAAGAAUACAUUUGUUAAGAUGCUAACUGUGCUACUGAACAACUAGUAUCACAAGAAACGAUAAACUAUAGGCACAUGCUGCCACAUGUUAUGUUCAUUGUAUUCUGUGCAAUACUGAUUUCUGUUGAAUGUAAAUGUAUAGUAAAUAGCUGUGACAUUCAGAUAUAUCAGUUGUUAUCUUUACAACAAAAAACUAAUAAUUUGAAUCAUAGUUUCAAUUCUAUUUUUAUAAUAAAAGACCAUAGAUUGUUAUCUA